CACGCCCUAAACGAUGGAUACUAGGCGUAAGAGGUAUCGACCCCUCUUGUGCCGCAGCUAACGCAUUAAGUAUCCCGCCUGGGGANCGAAGAACCUUACCCAGACUUGACAUCGAUCGCAAGCCUUAGAAAUAGGGCCCUCCUUCCAAAAGAAGGACGUGAAGACACUUGU
RNAcentral lists this ribosomal RNA (171 nucleotides) under uncultured bacterium. RNAcentral's name for it is "partial 16S ribosomal RNA". The stretch from base 1 to 79 matches the Rfam family "Bacterial small subunit ribosomal RNA", at positions 796 to 873 of the family's 1533-position model. The record is from RNAcentral.